Manis pentadactyla (Chinese pangolin) is the source of this 3885-nucleotide long non-coding RNA. RefSeq lists it as uncharacterized. Lineage: Eukaryota; Metazoa; Chordata; Mammalia; Pholidota; Manidae. The record is from RefSeq and is a predicted model, not a curated record. The transcript has 2 exons.
AAGCCGGGCAGAAGCAAUAAAUGACCGAUGUAGAGGAGGAAUUAACUGUGGUGGUGGUUUUCUCUCUUUGGGACCUACAGCGCCGACUCCUCGAGAAGGUGGGGCCACGCCUAGGGAGGAUGAUGGGAAGGUGCCUCCAAAGUCCCGGGGAAGUAACCCAGGCCGUGGAAUCCACAGAGGCCGAGGGGAGAGGUCGGCAGAUGUAGGCCCGGACUGCACCUAAUCUUAGUUGGACUCACAGACUAUGCAGAAGGAAACCGAGGCCCUGGGAGGAGCAGUCACUUGCCUAAGGUGGCACUAGAGUCCUAGCCUCCGCCCUCCGUCUCCUGCUGUUCAGCGCUCCCCAUUAAAGCCUCAGACCCUGGAGCGCCUUCUGCAUACGCUCUAACAGGGAUGCUGCCGGCAACUAGAGUUACUCUGCGGGAAGCGUGCUGGCUAGCUGCUCUUUCAGCUUGAAAAGUGAGUGUCCGUCCGGAAUACGCACUCCGAAAAGGAAACUCAAAAAUAUGGGGAAAGUAAUCUCUCAGGGUUACCUUUAGGUCCAAUAAUCAUACUUCGGGUAAAGUACCCCAUAGAAAACACAAUUUCAUGAGGAUAUUUAUGCAAGGAUCGGCAUUGCAGCAUUAUUAUAGGGGGGAGAAGUCCGUCAUAUGGAAAAUGGCUGGAAAAGCGUGGUUCAUAUAGUCUGCAGAAUCCUAUGCAGCUAUUCAAAUGAAGGAGAUCAAGUGUGUUUGCCUAGAUGAAUGCCCAUGACCAGAAAUGCCUUUAGUGGGAUCCUAACCUGCUAAGAGAAAGAAGAAAACUCCUUUAUUUGUGUUUGUGUUUGCACGAGAAUAGAAACUAUGUGGAAGGACGCACAGGCUGUGAACAUAGGUUAUCUCCAGUGAAAUUGCUGGAGAAGGGGGCCUUUUUUCUUUGUAUCUCCCUCAGACUUUAACCUGUAAAAAGUUUGUAUUCACAUUUGAACGUUUAAACCCAGUGACAUGUUUUGGAUCACAUACAUACAAAAUAUCUCCCAGGAGCCCAUGAUCUUUUGUCAGCCCGAAAGAGCAUCAAGUCAAACCAGAAUCCUCCCACUCAGUGAGAGGCUGGCGAGGAGGAGGAAAGAAAUGUUUGAUGAGCAGCUACUGCUUGUGUUUUCUCAGAGAAUCCACACGCCUACUCACAAGGUGGCUGUUAUCCUCAAUAUAGAUGAGAAAGUGAGGCCGCGGGGGAUUAAGUAACUAGUCUGAUAGGUAACACAGAGCCAGGCUUCCAGGCCAGCCUGGGCCCUUUCCAGGACCCUGAAAUGCCCCCUUAGCUAUGCCUUCAAAUUGGAGACUGGUGGAUGGAGGACGUCAGGCAAAACUGGCUCCAGGGACAGGAAACAGAGUGAUUUGAUGCCCACGGCUGACCAAGAGAUGGGCUUCACUGCUGCCUUGGGGCCCUCUGGAACAAGGAAAAGCACAGCUCUGGCUGCUGGGCCAAGUGUGGAGAUUCCAGUCUUCCAGUCCCAGAAAGGACCUCUCAAGGCUGCAAGGGGCUCAUACACUCAUGCUGUGCUCUGAACCCAGAACCUGGAUUAUCUCAUUCAAUUGUUUGACUACCUGAUGCCAUAGGUAAUGUCCUGGCAGUCUUACAGAUAAGGAAACAGAACUUAUAAACUCUCCAAAAUAACAUAUUCUUUCCACUACACCACUUGGCCCCAUUUUCAUCCUACCACAUCACACUGUAGAUGUGCCCACUAAUCAUGUGGGCAAGUUACAUAACUUUUUAAGCCUCUGUUUCCCCAUCUGUUAAAAUGUGGAUGGUCAGUUAUCUGAGUGGCUUGUUGCAAGAGUAAGAGUGAUCAUUCAUUCAUGUAAAGCACUAAUUGCAGCACCUGGCACACAGCAGGGGCUCAAAACAAUCCUGAUGACUAUUAUAGCACUGCUCUUACUGUUGUGUCCUGUAAACCACUGAUUGCCACCUGGGACUGCAGCAUUUCGAUGAAAUUCCAUAGGUUGCCUUAUUGUUUGAUUUUCUUGAUCCAUUCUCCCCACAAAUAUUUAAGCACUUACCUGACCCUUCGUUGAGUCGUGUAGAAGCUGACUGUCCAGUGGAAGAGACAGGCAAAUUCCUAAUUAGUAGGUUAUGGGCUGAAUGGCUUAUUGAUUGUAUUAGUUUGCUAAGACUGCCAAUAACAAAAUGCCAUAAACUGGAUGUCUUAAACAACAGGGAUUUAUUUUCUCACAAUUCUGGAAGCUUGAAGUCUGAGAUCAAGGUGUUGGCAAGGUCGGGUUGCUUCUGAAACCUCUCUUUGGCUUGUAGAUGGCCUUCUACUGCCCAUGUCUUUGCAUGCUCUUCCCUCUGUGUCUCUGCCCUCUUCUUAUGAAGUCAUAUUGUAUUUGGGCCCAACUUAAUCACCUCAUUUUAACUUAAAUACCUCUUUAAAAACGCUAUCUCCAAACAUAGUCACAUUUUGGAGGUCCUGGAACUUAGAACUUCAACAUAUGAAUUUUGGAGGGACACCAUUAAGCCCAUAACACUGACUGACAGGUAAGUCCUUGUGCUGAGUAUCUUCCAUUUGCCCAUUCAGAUCCACAUCCACACUGUGCCCCAGGAGGAUGACAGCAGGACUGCAUCCCCCACCCCUUGCCCUCUGCUUCCAGUUGGAUUCUAGUUGGUACCACGAGUGGAAGGCUUUGGCAGGGGACUAGAAGAAAGGAGAGUAAAGUCAGUCUCUAUUCCCCUGGCUCCCUCCAUGGACAGUCCAGGAACAUAAAGUCACAGCGCCACAGGGCCGCCUCUACACAGAACUCUCUCACCAGCUUCCCGUCACUGUUCCCUCCCCUGCUCCUUCAGGUCUUGACUCAGUAAAUUAUGCCCCUCUGUUACUAGCCAUAGGCUCCAGGCCAUCCUUUGUGGCUUCCUUAUACUCCACCCACAUCCUUGUAAACAGUGCCCUUAUUUAAAUAGUGCCCAGGAGUUUGAAUGACAAAAAGAGUAAGAGCAGAACAGAUGUGGGAAGUGAAAAUCCCAGCAUAUUGAUGAAAUCAUUCCAACAGCUACCCACCUUUGGCAGAGAGCCAGGGUCAGGGAGCAAUUAGCUGACUGCUUUAAAAGAGGAAGAAAGCACUAGUAUAUACUCGUUACACAAUCCAAGGACCAGGAAGGGGAAGGGCAAGGAGGCAGGAGUGCCACCUCUCCCCUCCAGGCUGUGGAGUGCUCCCUCUCCUGGCCCAGUACCCUCCUUUGAGGCCCACACCUCCUCCUCCUUUCAGGAGUCAGUUGGAAAGACACUUCAGUCCCAGCACACACUCAGCUGGUCUGGGUCAACGUGCCUCCAGGACCUGCUCCGUCCCUCCCUAAGCUUCUCUCUGGAGCAAUGCCUGUUGUAACUCUGCCUUCUUGUCUUCAGUCUGUCUAACCAGGCCUUUUGGAGGGCAGGAACCCAGGACAGGAACCCGGAGUCUUAUCUCUGCUUCCGCACACCCGGGCUGGUGCUUGGCCCACAGCUUGGUCUUAGAAAGAGUUUUCUGCUGAACAAUGUGAUGAAUAAAGCCAAAUUAGGACAAAAAGGAUGCAGCGAUCUUCAGUCCUCCUUUGCUGGCUGCCCACAUCCAGUCCUCCUUGAUGGAGGCCUUCCCCACACACAUCCAUGUGGAGAAAGCUGGAGUUACAUGGAAGAGUCCUCUACCCCACCAUGUACCUGGUCAUUUCUAGUUCUGGCUAUCCUCUGUGCCUCAUGGACAGAUCCCUUUUGUAAACCUCUGGGCCUCUGCUUUGUCAUCUGUAAAAUGGGCAUAAGCAUAGCACCCAGCACAGAGACUUGUUCUGUGGGGUCAGUGGGGUUAAUACCUGCAGAAUGCUUAAAACAAUGCCUAGUGUAUUGUAACUGCUCAAUAAAUAGGAGUGAUGGUCUAA